This 4926-nucleotide small RNA is filed under the name Arabidopsis thaliana (thale cress). Its description in RNAcentral is "ATSL033920". The record is from RNAcentral. Lineage: Eukaryota; Viridiplantae; Streptophyta; Magnoliopsida; Brassicales; Brassicaceae.
CUAACAUUAAACAAGCUUCGUCUUGCUUCUCAAAGCUUUGAUGGUUUAGCCAAAGUCUGUACGAGUCUUUGGUUGACGAACAGAAUCAACAAAAUGGCCCUGCCAACAUUGGUGCUGGAGAUGCACCACGUGAUCGCCGUCAGAGGAAAGGAAUUGCGACUCCUGCUAUCCAGAACAACAACUUCGAGAUUAAGAGUGGUCUCAUCUCGAUGAUUCAGGAGAACAAAUUCCAUGGUCUGCCAAUGGAGGAUCCACUCGACCACCUUGAUGAAUUCGAUAGGCUCUACAACCUGACAAAGAUCAAUGGUGUCAGUGAAGAUGGAUUCAAGCUCCGUUUGUUCCCCUUCUCCUUGGGCGACAAAGCACACAUCUGGGAGAAGAAUUUGCCCCAUGACUCAAUCACCACCUGGGAUGAUUGCAAGAAGGCUUUUCUAUCAAAGUUCUUCUCCAAUGCCAGAACUGCAAGACUCAGAAAUGAGAUCUCUGGUUUCUCACAGAAGACUAGUGAAAGCUUCUGUGAAGCAUGGGAGCGUUUCAAGGGUUACACCAACCAAUGCCCUCAUCAUGGCUUUACUAAAGCCUCUCUGCUCAGCACUCUUUACAGAGGAGUCCUACCAUGCAUCAUAAUGCUUCUGGAUGCUGCCAGCAAUGGGAAUUUCCAGAACAAGGAUGUUGAAGAAGGCUGGGAAUUGGUUGAGAACUUAGCUCAAUCAUAUGGUAAUUACAACGAAGACUGCGAUAGGACCGUCAGAGGCACAGCUGACUCUAAUGACAAACACAGGAAGGAGAUCAAAGCGCUGAAUGACAAGCUGGACAGGAUUUUUCUUAGCCAGCAGAAGCAUGUGCACUUCCUUGUUGAUGACAAGCAGUUUCAAGUCCAAGAUGGGGAGGGUAACCAGUUGGAAGAAGUCAGCUACAUCAACAACAACCAGGGUGGCUACAAAGGAUACAACAACUUCAAAACCAACAACCCCAACCUCUCCUACCGCAGCACCAACUGAUAAUAGGUUUUUAGUCAAUUAUCCUAAAACACCAAUCAUGUCGUUGUAGUAUUUUAGGUUGUCAAUCCAAAUGGGUGUGAUGCUAACAAUCAAGAUGUGAUCAGAAGUCACUAAGUCAAGCCAAGCAAUAACAGGUUUUGGUGUGUUCUAGCAGUUCUAAGUGAACAUGCAGAAAAGAGAAAUUCAAGCAGAAACAAUAAAACACUCGACCAACACAGCUCUUUGCAGAGCACUGGGUGAGGUCGAGUGACAGGUCGAGUAACAGACAGAAAAUAAAACACAGAUACUCGACUGCACAGUCUGUUGCCAGACAACUGGGUGGUCGAGUAUGAGGUCGAGUAAUAGUAAAGAACUGCAGAAACUAAGCAACAGAUGACAGGACGCAGUAAACAGCAGUAGAGUAAGCAAUAAAAUUAUUCAGAUAAAGAAUUCCCGAGGAUAGGGUAAUUGAGUAGUUUCGUUUUCUCAUUUUACAGGUGAUUGACAUGCUCAAUAAAUUAACCCUAGACAACAAGUUCACUAACCAAAUCUAAGUGCCACCGCAACAGAGACCCUCAAGUUAACCUAGUCCCAGACUCAAUCACCAUUGACGAGAGCUAACCUAACAUGCAUUACGAAUCAACAAGUUAAAGCUAAAACGCUCCCUGUAACCAAUACCUUGGUACAGGGUCACGAAUCUCUGGAAUUAGUGGUUCAGACAUUUAAUCGAACACCUUUUGGGCGCGGAAAUGUCUGGGCUCAAAUUCCAGUUGAUCAGAAAGCAAUAGGCAUUAAGAACAACUAAUCCAAAAGGGAUCUAUCAAUCAAUACUCAAUCACCUAGCAUACUGAGAAUCCUACACUACUCUAACCCAUCCUCAGAAACCUAUUCACUACUCAGACAUCAUAAUAGAAAGCAUAAACAUUGAACAAGUUGAAAACAUGAUAACAACAGUGUAACAGCAGGAUGAUAACAGAACGAACAACAGUAAACGAAAUCAAGAACAAAUGCUGAAUACUGAAUACUAAAUAGAUAAAGAGAAAUCCGGAUUACAAAAGGUCUAUAACACAAAGUCUGCGGAAUAAAACUAGAUAAAAACUUCUAGUGUGCAAAAAUGUGAAGUAUAUGCUACUUAUAGCCAAAUAUUCUGAAACCUUAAUACUCAAAACGACGAAGUAUUGGGACGGAUUAAGAACUGUACUCGACCCAUGUGGUCGAGUGGGAGGUCGAGUGAAUAGCUGGACUCUUCUUUUCUUCCUUGUGCUCGAGUGUCUGGUUGAGUGCAGAAUGAAGAAGGCUCUGAAGCUUGUCAUCGAGUAUGCAGUCGAGUGGUGGUGAUGGUGAUACUCGACUUCCAGGUAGAGUGAUGAGGUCGAGUAGUGGUCUGGCAAUGAAGGUGAAGACACUCGACCUCGGGGUCGAGUGAUGCGAUCGAGUGAUGGUCAGGAGUGAUAUGUCUAUAAUUUGCAUGUUUUCAGUAUCCAUUUAUCAUCGCUUUGAGUCCAGUUUCGUAUCAUUCAUCACUAUUUUAUAUCAUUUCUCAUCAUUCUUGCAUACUUUGCAUGAUUAGGAUAGCUUUGCAUACAUAUUGCAUUUCUGAGUUGUUUUCAGGUGAUUUGGAAGAAACGAGCCAGAACCAGAAGACAUACUCGACCCCCAGGUCGAGUGACUUUGGAGCCAUUCUUCCCACAUACUCGACCCCCAGGUCGAGUGACUUUGGAGCCAUUCUUCCCACCUACUCGACCACCUGGUCGAGUACCCUCAGCUAAGGCUACUCGAUGACACUACUCGACCCCCUGGUCGAGUAUCACUUCGCGCCACCAUCACCAUCACUCGACCAUUCACUCUACCAAUUUACUCGACCCUCUGGUCGAGUAUCAUCACUCACCACCAUCACCAUCAGUUGACCGGACACUCGAUCACGUCUUCAUAGUCUACUCAAAUCCACACUCAACCAGACAAGCUGAGCACAAGGAAGAGAAGAGGAGAAGACAAAGUGUUUGGAAGCGGCCUGGACCUCCAUCGGAUCACGAAGCCCAUCGCGGCCUAUUAUCUUUCUAUGGGCCGGACGAUUAGGUUAUUGGCCCGUCUACUAUCAUUUUAUUUCGUAUUUUAUAAAUAGAUGUCUUAGGGUUCUGUCCAGAGACAUCCAGUCGACAUUGAGUUUUUGCUUCAGUUUUAUUUUCUUAUUUACUCUACUGCGCCGCUUUUGCUUCUGCAACCUGUAAUUCGAGAUUUUCCCAAGUUAUUCAGAUUCCGCAUUUGAUUUCAUCUGUCAUCUUGUUUCUCUACUCUUUAUCUCUCUACUUAUGCAAUAUUAUCGUUUAUCUGCGUUUAUGUUUGUGAGCAUGUUGUCUGAGUAGUGACUUAGAAUUCUUAAGGAUGGGAUAGAGUAGUUGUGGAAUCCGUAGUCUGUAGAAUGGUUAAGUUCUAGAAUUGAUUGAAUCCCUUUAGGACUAGUUGCGUUUACUGCUUAUUUGUUUCUGAUCAACUGGAAUUCGAUCCCAAGCAUUCCCGCACCCAAAAGGUGUUCAAUGGAAUGCUUGAUCCACUAGUUCCUGAGAUAUGCGUCUCUAUCCCAAAGGAUUAGCCGUUUAGAGCAUUUAUUGACUUUAUCAGUCUGUUCUUAUUGCCUGCAUAGUUAGAUUCCGUUAAUGGAAAUUAGUCUGGGCUAGCUUUGCUUGAGGAUUUCUAUCACGGGAGUGAAUUGAUCUGUUGUUGAACCUGUUGUCUAGGGAUAGCUUGAUUGCGCUUGUUAACCAUUCGAAUAGGCUAGGAUACCACUCUACUCGAUUACCCCAUCCUUAAGAAUUUCUUGUCUAUCUGAUUUCUCUGUUUUAUCGUUAUCGCUUAUUCGUUCUCAUUGCCUGUUUCUUCGUUUUUACAAUUACUCGACCAACUUACUCGACCACACCCAUUAACUGGCAACAGACUGUGCAGUCGAGUACAGUUGUCUCAUUUCCUGUCUGUUACUCGACCAGUAUACUCGACCACACACAGUGUCUUGCAACAGACUGUGCAGUCGAGUAUAGCUGUUUCAUAUUCUGCCUGUUACUCGACCACAUCCUACUUCUGGUAUCAGCCUGUUGUGGUCAAGUGAUUUUAGUGAUUCUGUUAUUGUUUCUGUUUUCUGCAUGUUCACAUAGGACUGUUAGAAACCCCAAAACUGUUAUUGCUUGGCUUGACUUAGUGACUUCUGAUCACAUCUCAUCUGUUUGCAUCACACUCAUUUGGAUUGACACCUAAAAUACUACAACGACAUGAUAGUGUUUUAGGAUUAAUUGAUCAUAAAAACCUAUUAUCAAGGAGAUACUCGACUUCCAGGUUGAGUGAUGAGGUCGAGUAGUGGUCUGGUAAUGAAAGUGAAGACACUCGACUUCGGGGUCGAGUGAUGUGAUCGAGUGAUGGUCAGGUGAUGGAGAUGAAGAUGCUCGACCUCGUGGUCGAGUGGUGAGGUGAAGUUGUGAUGUCUUCUACUCGACCUGGGGGUCGAGUGGUCUCUUGAGAUCUUGAAGCUCCUACUCUACCUCUGGGUCGAGUGGUUUUGUCAUGAUCAGGGCCGCUUCUUCCAGAUAGCUCUUCAACAGCUCCAAAUCACCUGAAAUCAACGCAAAUAUGCAACAUGCAUGUAAAUCUAUCCUAAACAUAUAAAGUGAUGAUAAAUGAUGAGAAAUAGUAUGAAAUAGUGAUGAUAUGAUGCUAAAGUGAUGACAAAUGGAUGCUCAAAACAUGCAAAAAUACACACUUAUCACCAACGUUGCUAAUCCUCAAGAUCAAGUGUAUCCUCCACAGCAACAACAACGUUAGAACAAACCUUUUGUUCCUUACAGCCAAGGUUUCGUUCAUAAGCAGCAAUUCCAGGGGAACUACCAGCCGCCACCACCACCUGGGUUUGCACCUCAGCAAAACCAAGGUCCUGCUGCUCCUGAUGCUGAAAUGAAACAGA